RNAcentral lists this ribosomal RNA (1173 nucleotides) under uncultured Bacteroides sp. Its description in RNAcentral is "bacterial SSU rRNA". It matches the Rfam family "Bacterial small subunit ribosomal RNA", at positions 10 to 1177 of the family's 1533-position model. Lineage: Bacteria; Pseudomonadati; Bacteroidota; Bacteroidia; Bacteroidales; Bacteroidaceae. The record is from RNAcentral.
AGUUUGAUCCUGGCUCAGGAUGAACGCUAGCUACAGGCUUAACACAUGCAAGUCGAGGGGCAGCAUUUCAGUUUGCUUGCAAACUGGAGAUGGCGACCGGCGCACGGGUGAGUAACACGUAUCCAACCUGCCGAUAACUCGGGGAUAGCCUUUCGAAAGAAAGAUUAAUACCCGAUGGUAUAAUUAGACCGCAUGGUCUUGUUAUUAAAGAAUUUCGGUUAUCGAUGGGGAUGCGUUCCAUUAGGCAGUUGGUGAGGUAACGGCUCACCGAACCUUCGAUGGAUAGGGGUUCUGAGAGGAAGGUCCCCCACAUUGGAACUGAGACACGGUCCAAACUCCUACGGGAGGCAGCAGUGAGGAAUAUUGGUCAAUGGACGGGAGUCUGAACCAGCCAAGUAGCGUGAAGGAUGACUGCCCUAUGGGUUGUAAACUUCUUUUAUAUGGGAAUAAAGUUUUCCACGUGUGGAAUUUUGUAUGUACCAUAUGAAUAAGGAUCGGCUAACUCCGUGCCAGCAGCCGCGGUAAUACGGAGGAUCCGAGCGUUAUCCGGAUUUAUUGGGUUUAAAGGGAGCGUAGGUGGACAGUUAAGUCAGUUGUGAAAGUUUGCGGCUCAACCGUAAAAUUGCAGUUGAUACUGGCUGUCUUGAGUACAGUAGAGGUAGGCGGAAUUCGUGGUGUAGCGGUGAAAUGCUUAGAUAUCACGAAGAACUCCGAUUGCGAAGGCAGCUCACUGGACUGCAACUGACACUGAUGCUCGAAAGUGUGGGUAUCAAACAGGAUUAGAUACCCUGGUAGUCCACACAGUAAACGAUGAAUACUCGCUGUUUGCGAUAUACAGUAAGCGGCCAAGCGAAAGCAUUAAGUAUUCCACCUGGGGAGUACGCCGGCAACGGUGAAACUCAAAGGAAUUGACGGGGGCCCGCACAAGCGGAGGAACAUGUGGUUUAAUUCGAUGAUACGCGAGGAACCUUACCCGGGCUUAAAUUGCAUUUGAAUAUAUUGGAAACAGUAUAGCCGUAAGGCAAAUGUGAAGGUGCUGCAUGGUUGUCGUCAGCUCGUGCCGUGAGGUGUCGGCUUAAGUGCCAUAACGAGCGCAACCCUUAUCUUUAGUUACUAACAGGUCAUGCUGAGGACUCUAGAGAGACUGCCGUCGUAAGAUGUGAGGAAGGUGGA